RNAcentral lists this ribosomal RNA (253 nucleotides) under uncultured bacterium. RNAcentral's name for it is "partial 16S ribosomal RNA". It matches the Rfam family "Bacterial small subunit ribosomal RNA", at positions 524 to 775 of the family's 1533-position model. The record is from RNAcentral.
UACGAAGGGUGCAAGCGUUACUCGGAAUUACUGGGCGUAAAGCGUGCGUAGGUGGUGAGUUAAGUCUGUCGUGAAAGCCCCGGGCUCAACCUGGGAAUGGCGAUGGAUACUGGCUCGCUAGAGUGCGGUAGAGGAGAGUGGAAUUCCCGGUGUAGCAGUGAAAUGCGUAGAGAUCGGGAGGAACAUCAGUUGCGAAGGCGGCUCUCGUGGACCAGCACUGACACUGAGGCACGAAAGCGUGGGGAGCAAACAG